GACGAACGCUGGCGGCGUGCUUAACACAUGCAAGUCGAACGGAAAGGCCCUGCUUUUGUGGGGUGCUCGAGUGGCGAACGGGUGAGUAACACGUGAGUAACCUGCCCUUGACUUUGGGAUAACUUCAGGAAACUGGGGCUAAUACCGGAUAGGAGCUCCUGCUGCAUGGUGGGGGUUGGAAAGUUUCGGCGGUUGGGGAUGGACUCGCGGCUUAUCAGCUUGUUGGUGGGGUAGGUGCUUACCAAGGCUUUGACGGGUAGCCGGCCUGAGAGGGUGACCGGCCACAUUGGGACUGAGAUACGGCCCAGACUCCUACGGGAGGCAGCAGUGGGGAAUAUUGCACAAUGGGCGGAAGCCUGAUGCAGCAACGCCGCGUGCGGGAUGACGGCCUUCGGGUUGUAAACCGCUUUCGCCUGUGACGAAGCGUGAGUGACGGUAAUGGGUAAAGAAGCACCGGCUAACUACGUG
Molecule: ribosomal RNA, 468 nt
Filed under: uncultured bacterium
Lineage: Bacteria
Description: partial 16S ribosomal RNA
Rfam family: Bacterial small subunit ribosomal RNA
Source: RNAcentral